AAGACUAUAGACCUGCGGAGUACCUGCGGAAGGAUCAUUACAUGGCGGAGGAGGUGGGCACCUAGUAAAAACAAAACCCUAGGUGUGUUGCCUACCACGCUUUCUACCCUUGUCUAUUUGCACCUUUUGUCGUUCCCUCGGUGGGUCUUGAACCUGCCGGCGGCAACUUUCAAAAACCUUUUGUAGUUAGUAUCUAAUUCUUCUGAUCAAAUAUUCAAUCGUUACAACUUUCAGCAAUGG
Molecule: unclassified non-coding RNA, 240 nt
Filed under: soil metagenome
Description: partial contains 5.8S ribosomal RNA, internal transcribed spacer 2, and large subunit ribosomal RNA
Source: RNAcentral